RNAcentral lists this unclassified non-coding RNA (275 nucleotides) under uncultured Sandaracinaceae bacterium. Its description in RNAcentral is "contains 16S-23S intergenic spacer region". The record is from RNAcentral. Lineage: Bacteria; Pseudomonadati; Myxococcota; Polyangiales; Sandaracinaceae.
UCCAGCUUGCCGUGUGCAGUCUCCUUAGAGUUCCCAACUUAAUGAUGGCAACUAAGGACAAGGGCCAGCGUCGCUCGGGGACAUUAACCCAACAUCUCACGACACGAGCUGACGACAGCCAUGCAGCACCUGGACUUUGAUUCUCUUGCGAGCACCCCGGGGAGUUUUAGUCUUGCGACCGUCCUGCGCAGGCGGAGUGCUUAAUGCGUUAGCUUCGACACCGCAGGGGUCAAUACCCGCGACAUCUAGCACUCAUCGUUUACAGCGUGGACUAC